AACAGGAUUAGAUACCCUGGUAGUCCACGCUGUAAACGAUGGGCACUAGGUGUGGGGGGUGUCGACUCCCUCCGUGCCGACGCUAACGCAUUAAGUGCCCCGCCUGGGGAGUACGGCCGCAAGGCUAAAACUCAAAGGAAUUGACGGGGGCCCGCACAAGCAGCGGAGCAUGUGGUUUAAUUCGACGCAACGCGGAGAACCUUACCUGGGCUUGACAUGUUUCUGACCGCCGUGGAAACACGGCUUCCCUUCGGGGCAGAAUCACAGGUGGUGCAUGGCUGUCGUCAGCUCGUGUCGUGAGAUGUUGGGUUAAGUCCCGCAACGAGCGCAACCCCCGUCGCAUGUUGCCAGCAUUUAGUUGGGGACUCAUGCGAGACUGCCGGUGACAAACCGGAGGAAGGUGGGGAUGACGUCAAGUCCUCAUGCCCCUUAUGUCCAGGGCUACACACGUGCUACAUUGGCGCGUACAGAGGGUAGCGAUACCGCGAGGUGGAGCGAAUCCCUUAAAGCGCGUCUCGGUUCGGAUUGCAGGCUGAAACUCGCCUGCAUGAAGGCGGAGUUGCUAGUAAUCGCGGAUCAGCAUUGCCGCGGUGAAUACGUUCCCGGGCCUUGUACACACCGCCCGUCACACCACGGGAGUGAGCAACACCCGAAGCCGGUGGCCUAACCCUUUUGGGAUGGAGCCGUCGAAGGUGGGGCUCGUGACUGGGGUGAAGUCGUAACAAGGUAACCGUA
Molecule: ribosomal RNA, 735 nt
Filed under: uncultured endophytic bacterium
Lineage: Bacteria
Description: bacterial SSU rRNA
Rfam family: Bacterial small subunit ribosomal RNA
Source: RNAcentral